AUAAUACAACAAGCUAGUGUCAAGGUCAUAUUUACAAGUUUCUCAGUCCUGUUUUCAUUCAUCAGGACCAUGUCUCCUCAGAAGACCAUGACUUUCCUGGUUCCUAUACAGAGAACUAAUAUCCCAGCUGCUCCAAAUGCACCUGAAUGGGUACUAGAGAGACGAGGAAGCUAACUUGUGGCAGAUGGGACCAGACCAAAUGGAUGCCAUCAGACUUACAUCAGUAAGAAAGCAUUUUUUUUUUCCAGAGCUCUGUGGAAAUCCAUCUUCAAGGAAUUAGGCCCUUAAUCUGAAAAGGUGGGGUCACUCGAUGGUCUAUAUACGCAGAGCAAAGCUGUUUAUUCUUGUGCAGCCAGAGCCGAGUGUAUUAGUGUCCAUGUCAGCAGCAAGAGAAUCUAUGAAUUAACUGCUUUUUUUGUUUGUUUGUUUAUUUUAAGUCUUUAUUUAUGAUUCAGUGAGCUGUGGGAACUUAGUUUCUGAUGGCAAAUUGUAUGCUUUGAUAACAUUUUGUCUACAUGAUACUUUCUCCCAGUUUUGGGUUCUUCUGUAAGGCUUCUCUCUUAUUCCAUCCUGUCAGACUUAGACUUUGUGAAACUUGGAGCUUUUUUUUUAAUGAAUUAUGAUUGGAAGAUAUGUUUGUGGUGU
Long non-coding RNA from Cygnus olor (mute swan), 645 nucleotides. RefSeq lists it as uncharacterized. NCBI's taxonomy places the organism in Eukaryota, Metazoa, Chordata, Aves, Anseriformes, Anatidae. The record is from RefSeq and is a predicted model, not a curated record. The transcript has 3 exons.